Molecule: long non-coding RNA, 1381 nt
Filed under: Nicotiana benthamiana
Lineage: Eukaryota; Viridiplantae; Streptophyta; Magnoliopsida; Solanales; Solanaceae
Description: long non-coding RNA (NBEN_LNC016353)
Source: RNAcentral
ACUAAGCUCCGCUAGGGUCGUGCUCUUGGCACCGGUGCACAAGAGCGUCAUGCUGGAGGCCGCCUCCUCACAGUUCUCCAGACAAUUAUAGUGACUUGGGAUCACUAUACGACAAGAAGAUUGGCCGGCCAUCAUCUCCACCCGGUCCAAGGACCUGCCUCCUCUAUUUGCGCCCUCCAUGGCUGCCCCCAAACUGUAACAAAGAUUAGGUAAAGCUGUUACCAGCCAGGCCAUGGAUCCUAAGAAAUUUAGUUCAAGAACGACUUUCCUCUGCAAACGGUAUCGCCGCCUGCACCCACGACCUAAUGUCGUCAACACUACGAGGAGGACGAGCAGCCACUGCAUGAAAACAAAGGAAAACUUUCGGCUGUAAGAACCAGCAAAGUAAGUUGAAAAUAGUGAACUUCACGCACAACAAUACUUACGUGCGUCAUUCCACACUUCUGGAAACUCAUUAGGGUUGGGCACAAGGUGUUCGGUACGGACGUAGAAGAACCUUGUCCAAAAUUUGUGAUUUGCCUUGUCGUCCACUUGCGCCACGAAGCUUUUCACGUCAUUCCACACUUCUGGAAACCCAUUAGGGUUGGGCACAAGGUGUUCGUUACGGACGUAGAAGAACCUCGUCCAAAAUUUACGAUUGGCCUUGUCAUCCACCUGCGCCACGAAGCUUUUCUUGCCCCCUACUCCUCAACCGGAGCAUCGAGCCUCUCAUGAAAACCACAUUGAACAUUUGCAAAAGGUGAUGAACGGUCACCUCCUUUCUGGCCUUCGUUGCAUAAACAGAUACUACCCUGCACACCUUCAAGGCGUACGGGGUAAGCUGAGCCGGACACGCUCCGUACCAGCGACACAAGUCCUCUGCUAAAGGGUAAAUUGGAAGGGUGUAUCCAAUUCGAAAGGCAUAUUCGUAAAAAGCACAAUACCUGGUCCUAGGCACGUUGGCGUAAUCUUGCCCCGCGGGAACCAUGUCAACAUGAUCAGGAAUAUCAUAUGUCUCCCUGAGAGAGGCCAAGUGGGGCAGCGUCAUCUCACUAUGCUCCCAAGGGCAAACUUUAUGCUUAUUCAGGAAGUCUCUCAUUUUGCUCAUAUCGCGUGGGAGCAGGUUGGCUGUUGAUAGAGGAACAAAAACCUCCCCGGCCUCCUCAUCGUCUGAGGAUGACGAGGACCUGGUGUAAUCAACGUCCCUGGUUCAGGCAUCAUCACGCCUACGUUUAGCUAUAGUGAAUGAUGUAAGAAAAAGGUAUUAUGGGUCGCAAGUUCGAUUCCUGAGAAUGAGAAAUUCAGAGAAGAAAAGAAUAGCAAACACCAGAAAAAGAUAGGGAAAAGAGUGAGGAAAUACUCUCCGAAAGGGAUCGAAAGAUGAACCUAGCCCAACUCUCCA